AUGGAUAUUAGAGUAAGCAAAUAUGCCUAUAAGCUGUUUAGUGUCCAACAAAAUGCGUUUAUUAAGGGGAGACACAUUGUUGAUGGUAUUCUCUCCUUACAAGAAGUAUUGCAUUAUACUCAUAUCAAAAAGCAAGUGGGUGUGGUCCUUAAACUUGACUUUAAAAAGGCCUACGACAAAGUAAAUUGGGAUUUUUUGCUUGACUGUCAUAAGAAGCGUGGGUUUAAUUCUAAGUGGUGCGGAUGGGUUUCUCAAAUCCUUAAGAACGACACGGUGAGUGUCAAGAUUAAUGAUGAGAUCGGCCCAUAUAUACAAAGUGCUAAGGGGGUACGGUAGGGUGACCCUCAUUCCCCCUUUCUAUUCAACAUGGCGGCUGAAUGCCUGACCAAAAUGGUGCUCUCAGCACAAAAAACGGCCUCAUCAAGGGUUUAG
This 432-nucleotide ribosomal RNA is filed under the name Triticum aestivum (bread wheat). RNAcentral describes it as "partial small subunit ribosomal RNA". The record is from RNAcentral. Lineage: Eukaryota; Viridiplantae; Streptophyta; Magnoliopsida; Poales; Poaceae.